This 468-nucleotide ribosomal RNA is filed under the name uncultured bacterium. Its description in RNAcentral is "partial 16S ribosomal RNA". It matches the Rfam family "Bacterial small subunit ribosomal RNA", at positions 28 to 507 of the family's 1533-position model. The record is from RNAcentral.
GACGAACGCUGGCGGCGUGCUUAACACAUGCCAGUCGAACGGAAAGGCCCUGCUUUUGUGGGGUGCUCGAGUGGCGAACGGGUGAGUAACACGUGAGUAACCUGCCCUUGACUUUGGGAUAACUUCAGGAAACUGGGGCUAAUACCGGAUAGGAGCUCCUGCUGCAUGGUGGGGGUUGGAAAGUUUAGGCGGUUGGGGAUGGACUCGCGGCUUAUCAGCUUGUUGGUGGGGUAGUGGCUUACCAAGGCUUUGAAGGGUAGCCGGCCCGAGAGGGUGAACGGCGACCUUGGGACUGAGAUACGGACCAGACGGCUACGGGAGGCAGCAGUGGGGAAUAUUGCCCAAUGGGAGGAAGCCUGAUGCAGCAACGUCGCGUGCGGGAUGACGGCCUUCGGGUUGUAAACCGCUUUCGCCUGUGACGAAGCGUGAGUGACGGUAAUGGGUAAAGAAGCACCGGCUAACUACGUG